RNAcentral lists this non-coding RNA (31 nucleotides) under Rattus norvegicus (Norway rat). The record is from RNAcentral. Lineage: Eukaryota; Metazoa; Chordata; Mammalia; Rodentia; Muridae.
UGAGGACUCUAGAAUGUGUGAACCAUUCAAC